This 375-nucleotide ribosomal RNA is filed under the name uncultured bacterium. Its description in RNAcentral is "bacterial SSU rRNA". It matches the Rfam family "Bacterial small subunit ribosomal RNA", at positions 523 to 898 of the family's 1533-position model. The record is from RNAcentral.
AUACGAAGGGGGCUAGCGUUGUUCGGAAUUACUGGGCGUAAAGCGCACGUAGGCGGAUUGGUCAGUUAGGGGUGAAAUCCCAGGGCUCAACCCUGGAACUGCCUUUAAUACUGCCGGUCUAGAGUUCGAGAGAGGUGAGUGGAAUUCCGAGUGUAGAGGUGAAAUUCGUAGAUAUUCGGAGGAACACCAGUGGCGAAGGCGGCUCACUGGCUCGAUACUGGCGCUGAGGUGCGAAAGCGUGGGGAGCAAACAAGAUUAGAUACCCUGGUAGUCCACGCCGUAAACUAUGAGAGCUAGCCGUCGGCAAGUUUACUUGUCGGUGGCGCAGCUAACGCAUUAAGCUCUCCGCCUGGGGAGUACGGUCGCAAGAUUAAA